CGGAGUCUCUGAAGCGUUCUUUCCCGAGUGGACGCGGCCAGGGCGUGGGUCUCUGAGGACGAGGUUUGCAGUCCGGAAAAGUAAAGACACGUACAAGUUAUGGAGACAAACGUGUCCUUACUAAGCUCUUCUAGAAUGGACGGAUACCGCCCUCCCCACACACCUCACAUCUCCAUAGCCACCCUCUCACAUGAGUAGGGUUGUGGCUUCAAAAGAACACCUUAAGCAAGCCAAGCAGAGGUCACUGAAGAAUUUCACACACAGGACAUGGUUUAACGAGUCUGUUUAAAAGGAAUGCUGAAGAGCAACAGACGGCGUCAACACCCUUAUAAAUGUAAGAAAGAGGGAGACAAAGGACCACACAGACUGAAUCCUAGUUACUGCCUCCAGGAUCCUGCUUUGAAUUCCUGCCCUGGCUCCUCUUAGAGAUGUAAGCUGGAAUGCCUGCCUCCAAGUUGCUUUGGUUAGUGUGCAAUCACAGCAAUAGAAAGCAAACUAGAACAACUCCCUCCCUCCCUCCAUCCUUCCCUCAAACUUGUGACUCCCUUCUGCAUCAUCGUGUUUAUUUAUUACAAUUAGAACUAAGUUUGAGCAAGGCAGCUGGAAAAAGAAAGUGCUCUCUCAGAGAGACUUAGGGCCAAUGUGCUGUCUACUUUUAUGUCAGCUUGACACAAGCUAGAGUCAUCUGAAAGGAGCGAACCUCAAUUGAGUAAAAUUGAACCUCCAAAAGAUCCA
Cricetulus griseus (Chinese hamster) is the source of this 735-nucleotide non-coding RNA. Lineage: Eukaryota; Metazoa; Chordata; Mammalia; Rodentia; Cricetidae. The record is from RefSeq and is a predicted model, not a curated record.